UUAUUUUAUUUAAAACACUAUUAUAAUAAUUACUUUAUAUUAACAUUAUGUAAACUUUUUUAUUAUUUAAUCUUUUGACUACUCGAUAAUUUCGUAAAUUUCGAAUAGAAUCUGACAAGUAAAAUUGUCAGGGGUUUCCCCAAAUAACAAACUUAAAUAAUUUUCUGAAACCAUAGCUCAUAGAUGAGCUGCUACAUUGUAAGUUGUAUUAUUAUAUUAUACACGUAUCAUAUUUUACUUUUAGCUUAAUGUUAGAAAUUCUAAGAAUUCUUUAUUACAAUCUAGCAAAUUGUGUUAGUGUUUAUUAUUAUAGGUAAUCUACUCUAAUGGUAAUGUUUUGCUUGCGAAUGAAGCAUUAAUAACAAACAUGUUGGAUGUACAAACAAAGAAAUCGAUAGUCUUGUAGACUACCAUUCUAGUCCCGUACAAGAUUAUCUUUAAUGUAUUACUAAAUCCAAAUAGUUGUUAGGUAGCAUCUUUAAAUUUAAUCAUACACCCUGAAUACAUACAGCACAUGUUUGGGCAAAGAAAAAUCAAGGGAAUCUUCACUUGUGCAGGUGUAAUUAAUAAGAGAAGCUGUUCUGGCUGCAGUCAAGGCAGUGAGGGGUCUCCUAGAUGUCGCAGGGCCCCAUGCUUAUGUUUAUGCUUGUAUGGUAUAAUAUAUAUAAUAUACAAACUAUAUGGUACCAAGAAACUCUGAAGAGUGGGAGGCAAUUGGAAAUGGCUUUAGAAAAUCUUGGAACUUUCCUGGGUGUUGUGGAGCAAUUGACGGCAAGCACGUCGUCAUUAAAGUUCCAUUUGAAGCAGGAAGCUAUUUCUAUAAUUACAAGCAACAGAAUAGUCUUGUAUUAAUGGCUUUGGUAGAUGACAACUCUUGUUUUUCAUAUAUCGAUAUCUAUGGUAUGGUAUGAUAUGGAAUGGUAGAAUAUCCGAUGGAGGAGUUUUCCGGAACUGCAACUUAAGUGAUGUUUUGGAAAAUGGCUUGCUACCAGAACAUCAUGUUAUAGUCGGAGAUGCUGCCUUCCCUCUGAAGCCUUAUUUGAUGAAGCCAUUCGGAGGACAAAAUUUAACACAAAGAGAAAAAAAAAUAAUUACCGGUUGUCUCGUGCUAGACGUAUUGUUGAAAACGCUUUCGAGAUAUUAGUUAGUAGAUUUCAAAUAUUCGGAAAACCACUGCCUUAUCGCCCAAACACUGUUGAUAAAAUUAUAAAAGCUUGUUGUGCUUUACACAACUGGCUCAGAAUCAUCAAAAGUUCGAUAUUAGAACAUACAAUGGACUUUGAAGACACUGAGAACGAAUAUUUUGUAGAAGGGAGCUGGAGACAGUUACCUUCAGAGGGACUUGUGCCAAUACCUAGACACAUGUACAACCAUUCGUCGCAAAACGCACCUCAGGUCAGAGAAAAGUUUGCAGACUAUUUUAUGGACGAAGGAUCUGUCUCCUGGCACGAAUGAUACAUUAAUUUUUAUGUAAGAAAAAAAUCAUACCAUAUUACUCUGCGUCUUUCUAUUUUCUAGGUUUACGCUUUGUAACACAUCGUGUAGUAUGUCGAACCAUUUUACAUUCGGCUUGUAUAUGGAAUCUGCUCCAGCUCCAGAUUUCAUUGAGUCGUUAAUUUUCUUUACCUCUUGUGAAUAAGUUGAUCUUAUGUUUUUAAUCUGAAAUACAAAACAAACUCUUAAUAGAAAAAUUGUUGUUAUUAUUA
Molecule: long non-coding RNA, 1706 nt
Organism: Pieris napi
Lineage: Eukaryota; Metazoa; Arthropoda; Insecta; Lepidoptera; Pieridae
Exons: 4
Source: RefSeq, a predicted model, not a curated record